Diospyros lotus (date-plum) is the source of this 2227-nucleotide RNA transcript. It is a transcript of the gene named beta-1,6-galactosyltransferase GALT29A, with no coding region annotated. The record is from RefSeq and is a predicted model, not a curated record. The transcript has 4 exons. NCBI's taxonomy places the organism in Eukaryota, Viridiplantae, Streptophyta, Magnoliopsida, Ericales, Ebenaceae.
UCCACAUUUCAUUUCCCGAACAAUUCAUCAUUUAUAAUCAAGGCAUCUUUCUUUCUCUCUCUCUCUCUCUCUCCACCUUCCAUUCUCUUCCGCAGCAGUGGUCCUCCUCUUCCCUUCCUCCAAGUACUGUCUAUCCUCUCUCCAUAGCUACCGCAUAUAUACAUAUACGUAUGCGUGUGUAUAGAUGCCUGAGCUGUGAAUCGUUUGAUCUGAGUGUUUUUGGCAUCGAGGAUGGUGAUCGAUCCGACCUGUUUAGGCUUCUAGAUCUAGACGACGGAUUGUGGAUUUUAUAGCAAUUAGUUACGAGGAAAUGGAAAAUGAUUGGACUCGUUUAAUUUCUUCGAGAUCUGUAGUGAUUAGAGCUAUAGCUAUGGUUGUUGUCUGCAAAAUUUAGCCGACGACGACAUUUCGAUCUCUUCCGUAGAGCAACCUCGGCGGCUCUAAUGAAGCGGUCCGUGAGGCCGCUAUUCAGCGUGCUUCUUCUCGUUGUGGUGGCUGUCACUCUGAGCUGCCGCGUCGCCGUCCGAAGGGGAUUAAGUCGCGUGCCUUUGAUGGAGAGGCCGCUGGUGGUGCCGCCGCCGCCGCCGCCGCCGCAGGCAUUGUUGAACGCGACGCUGCUGAAACUCGCGGCGGUUGAUUUGGGGGAACCGCGUCUAAAGGAGGACGUUGACGACUUGUUGGAAUCUAAUUUCUGGAGUAAGGGUCGGCACCGGUCGUUCCUGUCAUCGGUGAGAUACAGUCGAGUUGAUAUCCGGCCGAGGACUUCGAGGGGCCUUCCGGUGCAGCUCCGGUCGCCGCAGUUCUACCGAUUGUGGUUGGAUUUCAGGAGGAAUUUGCACCACUGGUGGCGGAACAAGCGGUUCCAUCCAGAUAUAAUGUUGGAGUUAGCGUGGCUAGUUAGGGUUCCGAUUGAUCAGCAUAAUGGAUUAGUGACUUCACAAAAAACACGAUACUCUUCUUGUGCCGUAGUGGGGAACAGUGGGAUUUUGCUGAGGAAUGAACUCGGUGAGCUGAUUGAUAGCCACGAAGUGGUAAUUCGAUUAAACAAUGCGAGGACAAGUGGUUUUGAGCACAAUGUGGGCUCUAAAACUAGCAUUUCCUUUGUUAACAGCAAUAUAUUGCAUUUGUGUGCUCGAAGAGAGGGCUGUCCUUGCCAUCCCUAUGGUGCAACUGUCCCUAUAGUCAUGUAUAUUUGCCAGCCUGUCCAUGUCAUGGAUUACACAUUGUGCAAUUCUUCUCACAAAGCGCCUUUGCUCAUCACAGACCCACGGUUUGAUGUGUUGUGCACUCGGAUUGUGAAGUAUUACUCUCUGAAACGAUUUGUAGAGCAGAUGAAGAAGCCCUUGGAAGAUUGGGGGACUGCCCAUGAUGGUUCUCUGUUCCAUUACUCUUCGGGUAUGCAAGCUGUGAUGCUCGCUGUUGGAAUCUGUGAUAAAGUUAGCAUUUUUGGGUUUGGGAAAUCAGCUUCAGCUAAACAUCAUUACCAUACUAAUCAGAAGGCUGAGCUUCAUUUACACGACUAUGAAGCAGAGUACGAUUUUUACCAUGAUCUGGUUGAGAGACCGCAGAACCAAAGAGGAUUUUAGAAUUGAAUGUUGCUUGAAGAUCGGUUUCGAACAAAACUUUACAUAUCAAUGCAGCAAGGGUUAGGGGUUUUGAAGAAAGGAAAUUAUAUUAUUGACAGUUUGCUGCUGUUCAAGUACUUGCUUUGAUGUUGCCUCCUAUCAAUAUACAUGACUACAUGCGGCAUCAAGCGUAACAUCCUUACUGGGACCUGGAAGUGCACCACCCGGAAGUAGAAUUUGAUGUACAUCAGCCUCAUUAUACCGUCCAUUAUUCGUUAACACAACAUUCACGAAGUCUUCAUGAAGUGGUUACCAACUUGUGACUCAACAAACUUGAGUCUUCAAAAAGAACUUGAACUUUUGAUAGAAUGCCAUGGUGAGCGGGAAUCUUAAGCCUUGUUUAGCUAUGUUUAUCUGGGUUUUCCUUUCUUUUGAUAUGUUAUGCAUCUAGGUUGUGUUUGGAAUAAGUAAUUGUCAACAGAAAACGAAAAAAAAAUGAUAGGACAUAAGAAAAAAAAAAACAUUCAUGUUCAUGCUUCACACAUUGCGUUAAAACUUUUCGUCCCGAGGACGUCUGUCUAGUUCGAUUUGAGGUCUCAAGUCUCGACUCUUCAUCCUACUUCCAGUUGGUUGGACUUGGAGCCUGGGCCGUUUGGCUGCAG